AGGAGAGGAAGGGAAGCAGAGAAAGGAACAGAGAGACGGACGCGGAGGACGCGGAAGAACAGCUGAUCACAGAGAGAAGAAGAGCAGAGCAGAGAGGGGAGAAGAAGAGAGGCAGAUGAAAAGAGGAACGCGCUUUAUCGCCGACGUCAAGGAGGAUCCAGGGGAGGGGGAAAGGAAAGGAGAAGAGAGAGAAAUGGUGGCGAGACGGAGAGUUGUGUGGGAGAGCCGACGACGGCUGAAGAGGAGAAGAAGACGAGAGGAGACAACUAACUGUGGACAGAGGAGCUGGAAGGACCUAGAGAAAGAGCCGAAGGAAAACUCCCGAUAAACAGAGGCAGAGAGUGACUGCAGGCACCGAGAUGUGUCUGAGCAAGCGCGGAGGAGCAAGGCGACAUGGGGGAGGGAGCUCCUUAGAAAGAAGAGACAAGGAGAAAAAGACAAGAAACAGAGCUCGGGGGGCCAGGGGCCCUGCGACUGGAGACAGGCGAGCCGCAGAAGCCUCUGGAAGCGACAAGGCAAGAAGAAGAGAAGCGACACUGCGAGACAGGGCAGCAAACGAAAGACAAGUCAAGCGACAUUGGAAGAGAGAGAGAGAAGACUGAACUCGCAGCUAAAGAGACUUUCGAUUCAGAGGCCGAGACGGCACUGUUUGCCCGUUUUUGUCGCUUCUGGUUGACGAGACACGGCAUCUAUGCAGUUCUCGCUGAGAAAAACAGGGGAGCUUCUCCUUCCGUCCUUGCUCCAGAAGGAGAAGAAAACAGACAGAAAAAACCGGCUUGCAUCUCCACAAAUUGUUCGAGAGAUCCCAUUUUCAAGCGCUCUCUUCGACGCCCCAAGAACGUUUUCCUCCCGAUUUCGACUCAGGUGUCGAGACACUCUCCGCAGAAGCCGCAUGCGUGACUCCGCGGACUGCAUGCGCAUGACUGAAACAGGCGAGGAAAGUCGCGAAAGACAUUACUCAACCAGCUGUUUCGAGUUGAAGAAAGGACCCCUAGAGAACGUCACUGCUUCAGAACACGGUGCGAAGAACGCUUUCUCGAAAAGAGAAAUGUUCUCGUCGCUUGCCGCACACCCUGUCACGAAGAAACAUGACCUGGAAUGAGCGCCAGACGACGCAGUCAAAAUAUAAAGAAUCCUCUUCUCUCGGCGAAUUUCUCUCUGUCUGCAUCUUUCUGUGUAUGUCCACU
This 1187-nucleotide long non-coding RNA is filed under the name Toxoplasma gondii VEG. Lineage: Eukaryota; Apicomplexa; Conoidasida; Eucoccidiorida; Sarcocystidae. The record is from RNAcentral.